Molecule: ribosomal RNA, 699 nt
Filed under: uncultured bacterium
Lineage: Bacteria
Description: bacterial SSU rRNA
Rfam family: Bacterial small subunit ribosomal RNA
Source: RNAcentral
AGAGUUUGAUCCUGGCUCAGAACGAACGCUGGCGGCAGGCUUAACACAUGCAAGUCGAAGGAGAAGCGGGACUUCGGUCCCGUGGAAACUGGCGCACGGGUGAGUAACGCGUGGGAAAUUACCUAGUGGUUCAGAAUAACCGCGGGAAACUGCGGCUAAUACUGAAUACGCCCCGAGGGGGAAAGAUUUAUCGCCACUAGAUGUGCCCGCGUCGGAUUAGCUUGUUGGUGAGGUAACGGCUCACCAAGGCGACGAUCCGUAGCUGGUCUGAGAGGAUGAUCAGCCACACUGGGACUGAGACACGGCCCAGACUCCUACGGGAGGCAGCAGUGGGGAAUAUUGGACAAUGGGCGCAAGCCUGAUCCAGCCAUGCCGCGUGAGUGAAGAAGGCCCUAGGGUUGUAAAGCUCUUUCACCGGGGAAGAUAAUGACGGUACCCGGAGAAGAAGCCCCGGCUAACUCCGUGCCAGCAGCCGCGGUAAUACGGAGGGGGCUAGCGUUGUUCGGAAUUACUGGGCGUAAAGCGCGCGUAGGCGGCUUGCCAAGUUGGGGGUGAAAUCCCAGGGCUCAACCCUGGAACUGCCCUCAAAACUGGUUCGCUAGAGUCCGGGAGAGGUGAGUGGAAUUCCCAGUGUAGAGGUGAAAUUCGUAGAUAUUGGGAAGAACACCAGUGGCGAAGGCGGCUCACUGGACCGGUACU